RNAcentral lists this ribosomal RNA (463 nucleotides) under Streptococcus intermedius. RNAcentral's name for it is "bacterial SSU rRNA". It matches the Rfam family "Bacterial small subunit ribosomal RNA", at positions 28 to 467 of the family's 1533-position model. The record is from RNAcentral. Lineage: Bacteria; Bacillati; Bacillota; Bacilli; Lactobacillales; Streptococcaceae.
GACGAACGCUGGCGGCGUGCCUAAUACAUGCAAGUAGAACGCACAGGAUGCACCGUAGUUUACUACGCCGUAUUCUGUGAGUUGCGAACGGGUGAGUAACGCGUAGGUAACCUGCCUGGUAGCGGGGGAUAACUAUUGGAAACGAUAGCUAAUACCGCAUAAGAACAUUUACUGCAUGGUAGAUGUUUAAAAGGUGCAAAUGCAUCACUACCAGAUGGACCUGCGUUGUAUUAGCUAGUAGGUGAGGUAACGGCUCACCUAGGCGACGAUACAUAGCCGACCUGAGAGGGUGAUCGGCCACACUGGGACUGAGACACGGCCCAGACUCCUACGGGAGGCAGCAGUAGGGAAUCUUCGGCAAUGGGGGGAACCCUGACCGAGCAACGCCGCGUGAGUGAAGAAGGUUUUCGGAUCGUAAAGCUCUGUUGUUAAGGAAGAACGAGUGUGAGAAUGGAAAGUUCAU